Molecule: ribosomal RNA, 398 nt
Filed under: uncultured bacterium
Lineage: Bacteria
Description: bacterial SSU rRNA
Rfam family: Bacterial small subunit ribosomal RNA
Source: RNAcentral
GACGAACGCUGGCGGCGUGCUUAACACAUGCAAGUCGAGCGGUAAGGCCCUUUCGGGGGUACGACGAGCGGCGAACGGGUGAGUAACACGUGGGUGACCUGCCCUCCAGCUCUGGGAUAAGCCUGGGAAACCGGGGUCUAAUACCGGAUAUGACUCCAUGACGCAUGUUGUGGGGUGGAAAGCCUUGUGCGGCUGAGGAUGGGCCCGCGGCCUAUCAGCUUGUUGGUGGGGUGAUGGCCUACCAAGGCGACGACGGGUAGCCGGCCUGAGAGGGCGACCGGCCACACUGGGACUGAGACACGGCCCAGACUCCUACGGGAGGCAGCAGUGGGGAAUCUUGCGCAAUGGGCGAAAGCCUGACGCAGCGACGCCGCGUGAGGGAUGACGGCCUGGUGUAC